RNAcentral lists this ribosomal RNA (497 nucleotides) under uncultured bacterium. RNAcentral's name for it is "partial 16S ribosomal RNA". It matches the Rfam family "Bacterial small subunit ribosomal RNA", at positions 28 to 507 of the family's 1533-position model. The record is from RNAcentral.
GAUGAACGCUGGCGGCGUGCCUAAUACAUGCAAGUCGAGCGAACAGACGAGGAGCUUGCUCCUCUGACGUUAGCGGCGGACGGGUGAGUAACACGUGGAUAACCUACCUAUAAGACUGGGAUAACUUCGGGAAACCGGAGCUAAUACCGGAUAAUAUAUUGAACCGCAUGGUUCAAUAGUGAAAGACGGUUUUGCUGUCACUUAUAGAUGGAUCCGCGCCGCAUUAGCUAGUUGGUAAGGUAACGGCUUACCAAGGCAACGAUGCGUAGCCGACCUGAGAGGGUGAUCGGCCACACUGGAACUGAGACACGGUCCAGACUCCUACGGGAGGCAGCAGUAGGGAAUCUUCCGCAAUGGGCGAAAGCUUGACGGAGCAACGCCGCGUGAGUGAUGAAGGUCUUCGGAUCGUAAAACUCUGUUAUUAGGGAAGAACAAAUGUGUAAGUAACUAUGCACGUCCUGACGGUACCUAAUCAGAAAGCCACGGCUAACUACGUG